UCAGAAGUAGUUCAAAGGUAGAACGUGCGCCUUUCACGCCCAAGAUCCGAGUUCAAUUCCCGGCUUCUGAA
Molecule: non-coding RNA, 71 nt
Organism: Anaeramoeba ignava
Lineage: Eukaryota; Anaeramoebidae
Source: the annotation of a GenBank genome assembly